Molecule: long non-coding RNA, 603 nt
Organism: Anthonomus grandis grandis
Lineage: Eukaryota; Metazoa; Arthropoda; Insecta; Coleoptera; Curculionidae
Exons: 2
Source: RefSeq, a predicted model, not a curated record
UAAGAUCAACCCUGUAAAAUAUUAAUAACUCUAUCGAUGUUUUUACGAUCCUUGUAAUUUAAUCUGAUUUACCUUUACUUACUUACCACUUAUUAUUCAAUGUUUAUUGUAGUAAACAUAUUAAAUGUAAUAUUCCAUGUAAACACCGGGAUUUACCGUUCCUUAUAGCUAUAAAGUCUAAGCACAUACAGUUUUGUUUCAGUUCAGCUUAGAUUCUCCAGUUUGAAUUUUGUAUUUAAAUAUAUAAUAAUAUAGAAAAUGUUUUCUAUCAAAAGCUUUGUUGCUUUGUGCCUCUUGUUGUGUGUUUUGGUUAUGCAAACACGUGCCUUAACUGUUAUUUGCGAUUAUACAAGCGACUGCGACUCUCAGUGUAAAAAUGCUGGAUAUAGUGGCGCAGACCUCGAUGACUGUUCCAUAGAUUUUGGAACUCAGCAAUAUUCUUGUUCCUGCAAAUAAGAUUUUAUAUAUUUUAUAUAAUAUGAAUUAAGUAAAUAUUUAUACUAAGUAAAAGCCUGCAGGUAUUUAAAUUAAAUAUUGAUCUAUGUAAUUUAAUAUAUUAUAUUUUAUGCCAAAUAAAAAAUAUUUUUAAUUUCACAAAAAUAA